This 864-nucleotide unclassified non-coding RNA is filed under the name Zea mays. RNAcentral describes it as "misc RNA Zm00001eb099950". Lineage: Eukaryota; Viridiplantae; Streptophyta; Magnoliopsida; Poales; Poaceae. The record is from RNAcentral.
CUGGACGUCAGCCUAGCAAUUAGCUCAUCGACUCCAGAUUGGAGAACUCGACACCAUGAAGGUGCUGAUCGUUGCCCUUGCUCUCCUGGCGCUCGCUGCGAGCGCCGCCUCCAGUACAAGCGGCGGCUGUGGCUGCCAGACACCACCGUUUCAUCUACCGCCUCCGUUCUAUAUGCCGCCUCCGUUCUAUCUGCCGCCGCAGCAGCAGCCGCAGCCAUGGCAAUACCCCACUCAACCACCGCAGCUAAGCCCGUGCCAGCAGUUCGGAUCCUGCGGCGUCGGCAGCGUCGGCAGCCCGUUCCUGGGCCAGUGCGUCGAGUUCCUGAGGCACCAGUGCAGCCCGGCGGCGACGCCCUACGGCUCGCCACAGUGCCAGGCGCUGCAGCAGCAGUGCUGCCACCAGAUCAGGCAGGUGGAGCCGCUGCACCGGUACCAGGCGACAUACGGUGUGGUCCUGCAGUCCUUCCUGCAGCAGCAGCCGCAGGGCGAGCUCGCGGCGCUGAUGGCGGCCCAGGUAGCGCAGCAGCUGACGGCGAUGUGCGGCCUGCAGCUGCAGCAGCCAGGUCCCUGCCCUUGCAACGCAGCUGCCGGCGGUGUCUACUACUGAGGAAACUAUGUACUGUAGUAAUAAUGUAAUGGAGCCGCUGGCUAGCUACCUAGCUCGCUAGUUUACUCAUUUAGCGGCGAUGAGUAACGUAGUGUCACCCAUCACCAUGGGUGGCAGUGUGAGCAAUGACCUGAAUGAACCAUUGAAAUGGAAAGGAAUAAUAUAUAAGGAAAAAAGAUGAUUGGAAACUGAUAGUUGGUUCUGAGUCUUGCUAUCGAGGAUGGGAGAUACAACUCUUUUAUUUAAGGAGGGAUGAG